Molecule: ribosomal RNA, 1343 nt
Filed under: Pseudozyma flocculosa
Lineage: Eukaryota; Fungi; Basidiomycota; Ustilaginomycetes; Ustilaginales; Ustilaginaceae
Description: eukaryotic LSU rRNA
Rfam family: Eukaryotic large subunit ribosomal RNA
Source: RNAcentral
AGGGAAGAGCCCAAGAUUGAAAGCUGGCGUCUUCGACGUCCGCAUUGUAAUCUCAAGAAGUGUUUUCCGCUUCGGACCAUGCCUAAGUCCCUUGGAAAAGGGCAUCAUAGAGGGUGAUAAUCCCGUACAUGGCAUGGAGCGCCCGAGGCUUUGUGAUACGCUUUCUAAGAGUCGAGUUGUUUGGGAAUGCAGCUCAAAAUGGGUGGUAAAUGCCAUCUAAGGCUAAAUAUUGGGGAGAGACCGAUAGCGAACAAGUACAGUGAUGGAAAGAUGAAAAGAACUUUGAAAAGAGAGUUAAACAGUACGUGAAAUUGCCAAAAGGGAAGGGUAGGAGGUCAGAGAUGCGUCUUGGGAUUCAGCCUUGCUUUUGCUUGGUGUUUUUCCCAAGUUGCAGGCCAACGUCGGUUUUGGGCACUGGAGAAGGGUGGAAGGAACGUGGCACCUCUCGGGGUGUGUUAUAGCCUUCCACUGGAUACAGCGACCGAGACCGAGGACAGCAGCGUACUCGCAAGAGCGGGCCUUCGGGCACCUUUACGCUUAGGGCGUUGGCAUAAUGGCCCUCUACCACCCGUCUUGAAACACGGACCAAGGAGUCUAACAUGUAUGCGAGUCUUUGGGUGGCAAACCCAUAGGCGCAAUGAAAGUGAAUUCAGGUGGGAUCCGCAAGGUGCACCAUCGACCGAUCCUCACGUCUUUUAAGUCGUGGAUUUGAGUAAGAGCAUACCUGUUGGGACCCGAAAGAUGGUGAACUAUGCCUGAAUAGGGUGAAGCCAGAGGAAACUCUGGUGGAGGCUCGUAGCGGUUCUGACGUGCAAAUCGAUCGUCAAAUUUGGGUAUAGGGGCGAAAGACUAAUCGAACCAUCUAGUAGCUGGUUCCUGCCGAAGUUUCCCUCAGGAUAGCAGAAACUCACAUCAGUUUUAUGAGGUAAAGCGAAUGAUUAGAGGACUUGGGGAAGUAACUUCCUUAACCUAUUCUCAAACUUUAAAUGUGUAAGAAGCCCUUGUUACUUUAGUGAACGAGGGCAUGCGAAUGAGAGUUUCUAGUGGGCCAUUUUUGGUAAGCAGAACUGGCGAUGCGGGAUGAACCGAACGUUGGGUUAAGGUGCCAAAGUAUACGCUCAUCAGAUACCAGAAAAGGUGUUAUUUAGUCUAGACAGUGGGACGGUGGCCAUGGAAGUCGGAAACCGCUAAGGAGUGUGUAACAACUCACCCACCGAAUUAAGUAGCCCUGAAAAUGGAUGGCGCUCAAGCGUAUCACCGAUACCCAACCGUCAGUGUUUAGCGAAGCGCUGACGAGUAGGCAGGCGUGGGGGUCCGUAUGGAAGCCUUGGCAGUGAUGCUGG